This 1336-nucleotide ribosomal RNA is filed under the name Mycobacterium sp. DWMJ-2047A4. Its description in RNAcentral is "bacterial SSU rRNA". It matches the Rfam family "Bacterial small subunit ribosomal RNA", at positions 81 to 1431 of the family's 1533-position model. The record is from RNAcentral. Lineage: Bacteria; Bacillati; Actinomycetota; Actinomycetes; Mycobacteriales; Mycobacteriaceae.
UUCGGGGUACUCGAGUGGCGAACGGGUGAGUAACACGUGGGUGAUCUGCCCUGCACUUUGGGAUAAGCCUGGGAAACUGGGUCUAAUACCGAAUAGGACCACGCGCUUCAUGGUGUGUGGUGGAAAGCUUUUGCGGUGUGGGAUGGGCCCGCGGCCUAUCAGCUUGUUGGUGGGGUAAUGGCCUACCAAGGCGACGACGGGUAGCCGGCCUGAGAGGGUGACCGGCCACACUGGGACUGAGAUACGGCCCAGACUCCUACGGGAGGCAGCAGUGGGGAAUAUUGCACAAUGGGCGCAAGCCUGAUGCAGCGACGCCGCGUGAGGGAUGACGGCCUUCGGGUUGUAAACCUCUUUCAAUAGGGACGAAGCGCAAGUGACGGUACCUAUAGAAGAAGCACCGGCCAACUACGUGCCAGCAGCCGCGGUAAUACGUAGGGUGCGAGCGUUGUCCGGAAUUACUGGGCGUAAAGAGCUCGUAGGUGGUUUGUCGCGUUGUUCGUGAAAACUCACAGCUUAACUGUGGGCGUGCGGGCGAUACGGGCAGACUAGAGUACUGCAGGGGAGACUGGAAUUCCUGGUGUAGCGGUGGAAUGCGCAGAUAUCAGGAGGAACACCGGUGGCGAAGGCGGGUCUCUGGGCAGUAACUGACGCUGAGGAGCGAAAGCGUGGGGAGCGAACAGGAUUAGAUACCCUGGUAGUCCACGCCGUAAACGGUGGGUACUAGGUGUGGGUUCCUUCCUUGGGAUCCGUGCCGUAGCUAACGCAUUAAGUACCCCGCCUGGGGAGUACGGCCGCAAGGCUAAAACUCAAAGGAAUUGACGGGGGCCCGCACAAGCGGCGGAGCAUGUGGAUUAAUUCGAUGCAACGCGAAGAACCUUACCUGGGUUUGACAUGCACAGGACGCCGGCAGAGAUGUCGGUUCCCUUGUGGCCUGUGUGCAGGUGGUGCAUGGCUGUCGUCAGCUCGUGUCGUGAGAUGUUGGGUUAAGUCCCGCAACGAGCGCAACCCUUGUCCUAUGUUGCCAGCGGGUUAUGCCGGGGACUCGUAGGAGACUGCCGGGGUCAACUCGGAGGAAGGUGGGGAUGACGUCAAGUCAUCAUGCCCCUUAUGUCCAGGGCUCACACAUGCUACAAUGGCCGGUACAAAGGGCUGCGAUGCCGUGAGGUGGAGCGAAUCCUUUCAAAGCCGGUCUCAGUUCGGAUCGGGGUCUGCAACUCGACCCCGUGAAGUCGGAGUCGCUAGUAAUCGCAGAUCAGCAACGCUGCGGUGAAUACGUUCCCGGGCCUUGUACACACCGCCCGUCACGUCAUGAAAGUCGGUAACACCCGAAGCCGGU